Molecule: non-coding RNA, 148 nt
Organism: Pseudomonas aeruginosa 2192
Lineage: Bacteria; Pseudomonadati; Pseudomonadota; Gammaproteobacteria; Pseudomonadales; Pseudomonadaceae
Source: Rfam
AUGAUGAGCGCGUGAUCUGCUGACGUUGUCAGCGACAUGCCCCAUGCAGCUCGGAUCCGAAGUGCUGCAGCACAGCCCAGCGUGUUGAUCCAACCCAAGACCGUAUAGCUUCUGGUAGCACGGUCGGUCGGCCUCGGUCGAUAGAAGC